Paramuricea clavata is the source of this 259-nucleotide non-coding RNA. NCBI's taxonomy places the organism in Eukaryota, Metazoa, Cnidaria, Anthozoa, Malacalcyonacea, Plexauridae. The record is from the annotation of a GenBank genome assembly.
AGGGACUGGUCAUAAAGUGACUGCUAGGGUGGGCUGGAGGCAAAUCACAAAUUUUGCCAAUAAGUUUGGUGACCCAACUUAGGAUGUAGAUAAAAAUUUCAAAGCCCAUCUAAUCUUACAAAAAAAAUUUCAUGACCCACCCAAUCUAAAUUGGGAAAAUACACUUUUAUAACUUAAAAAAACUUGCAGGUAUAUGAACAUUGUAAAUAUACACGGCACUGUAUUGACAUAAUUGAAUUCCACCAAGCUUGACCAACAC